Molecule: ribosomal RNA, 95 nt
Filed under: Bacteroides caecigallinarum
Lineage: Bacteria; Pseudomonadati; Bacteroidota; Bacteroidia; Bacteroidales; Bacteroidaceae
Description: partial 16S ribosomal RNA
Rfam family: Bacterial small subunit ribosomal RNA
Source: RNAcentral
GCGAGGAGCGCCCUAGGGUAACACUGGUAAUUGGGGCUAAGUCGUAACAAGGUAGCCGUACCGGAAGGUGCGGCUGGAACACCUCCUUUCUGGAG